GAGAAAGGUAGAACCUAGUAGUCGAUGAACCAGGGAGAGACAGGUAGAACCUCGAAGUCGAUGGACCAGGGAGAGAAAGGUAGAACCUUGUAGUCGAUGAACCAGGGAGAGAAAGGUAGAACCUCGUAGUCGAUGAACCAGGGAGAGACAGGUAGAAUAACGUAGUCAAUGAACCAGGGAGAGAAAGGUAGAACCUCGUAGUCGAUGAACCAGGGAGAAAAAGGUAGAACGUCGUAGUCGAUGAACCAGGAAGAGAAAGGUAGAACCUCGUAGUUGAUGAACCAGGGAGAAAAAGGUAGAACCUCGUAGUCGAUGAACCAGGAAGAGAAAGGUAGAAACUCGUAGUCGAUGAACCAGGGAGAGAAAGGUAGAACCUCGUAGUCGAUGAACCAGGGAGAGACAGGUAGAACAACGUAGUCAAUGAACCAGGGAGAGAAAGGUAGAACCUCGUAGUCGAUGAACCAGGGAAGGAAGGUAGAACCUCGUAGUCGAUGAACCAGGAAGAGAAAGGUAGAACCUCGUAGUCGAUGAACCAGGAAGAGAAAGGUAGAACCUCGUAGUCGAUGAACCAGGGAGAGAAAGGUAGAACCUCGUAGUCGAUGAACCAGGUACAGAAAGGUAGAACCUUGUAGUCGAUGAACCAGGGAGAGAAAGGUAGAACCCAGUAGUAUAUGAACCAGGGAGAAACAUGUAGAACCCAGUAGUAUAUGGACCAGGGAGAAACAUGUAAAACCCAGUAGUACAUGAACCAGGGAGAGAAAGGUAGAACCUCGUAGUCGAUGAACCAGGGAGAGAAAGGUAGAACCUCAUAGUAUAUGGACCAGGGAGAAACAUGUAGAACCCAGUAGUAUAUGAACCAGGGAGAGAAAGGUAGAACCUCGUAGUCGAUGAACCAGGGAGAGAAAGGUAGAACCCAGUAGUAUAUGAACCAGGGAGAGAAAGGUAGAACCUCGUAGUCGAUGAACCAGGGAGAGACAGGUAGAACCCAGAAGUAGAUAGAGAGAGCGAGAUCGACAAAGAACAUAGAAUGAGACCCAAAUAGAGAUAAUGUAGCGAUAUAUAGAGAUAAUAUAGAGAUAUAUAGAGAUAAUAUAUAUUUAUAUAGAGAUAAUAUAUCGAUAUAUGGAGCGUGAGAGAUUGAGAAAAUCGAUAGAACUUGAAUGCUUCACAAGUCGUCAGCGAGUCAGACACAGGUCAGGAAUGUUUACAAGUCGUCUGCGAGUCAGACACAGGUCAGGAAUGUUUACAAGCUAAAGUUAGGAACACAGUUUGGGGUUUUUAUUGCCUUGAAACUGUAGAAACUGGAAAUCAUUAAAAGCAUGAAAUCCCUGUUUGUGAAUCUUGGCAUAACCCCUCUCCAGAUAGAAAACAAACAUUGACUACGUCCCAAAUCGAACCAUAUUGCCUAUAUAGUGCCAUACUUUUGACCAGGACUCAUAGGGUUCUGUUCAGAAGUAGUGCGCCAUAUAGGGAAUAGGGUGCCAUAGGGCUCUGGUCUAAAGUAGUGCACUAUAUAGGGAAUAGGGUGCCAUAGGGCUCUGGUAUAAAGUAGUGCACUAUAUAGGGAAUAGGGUGCCAUAGGGCCCUGGUCUAAAGUAGUGCACUAUAUAGGGAAUAGGGUGCCAUAUGGCUCUGGUCUAAAGUAGUGCACUAUAUAGGGAAUAGGGUGCCAUACGCUCUGGUAUAAAGUAGUGCACUAUAUAUAGGGAAUAG
RNAcentral lists this long non-coding RNA (1713 nucleotides) under Salmo salar (Atlantic salmon). Its description in RNAcentral is "lncRNA (ENSSSAG00000082488.1)". Lineage: Eukaryota; Metazoa; Chordata; Actinopteri; Salmoniformes; Salmonidae. The record is from RNAcentral.